This 207-nucleotide long non-coding RNA is filed under the name Elaeis guineensis (African oil palm). Its description in RNAcentral is "long non-coding RNA (EGUI_LNC020115)". The record is from RNAcentral. Lineage: Eukaryota; Viridiplantae; Streptophyta; Magnoliopsida; Arecales; Arecaceae.
UGUACUAGCACAGGAUGGAUUUAUUUUUCAAUUUAAUAAAGACUAUUGUUCUAUUUAUUUAUGAAAUAAAUUAGUUUCAUCUGAUCUUUUGAUUGAUAGUCUUUAUCACUUACAUGUUAAUGCUAAUAUAAAUUUAAAUGAGUAAGUAGUGAGUGUCGUAGGCCAAAAAAGAUUCAGAGAUGAGUUUAACCAUAAGAUAUUUAUGGU